RNAcentral lists this ribosomal RNA (775 nucleotides) under uncultured Neocallimastigales. RNAcentral describes it as "partial large subunit ribosomal RNA". It matches the Rfam family "Eukaryotic large subunit ribosomal RNA", at positions 22 to 645 of the family's 3401-position model. Lineage: Eukaryota; Fungi; Neocallimastigomycota; Neocallimastigomycetes; Neocallimastigales. The record is from RNAcentral.
GUACACGCUGUGACUAGCAUAUCAAUAAGCGGAGGAAAAGAAACUAACAAGGAUUCCCCUAGUAACGGCGAGUGAAGCGGGAAGAGCUCAAAUUUGAAAUCUUAAAGGGUUUCCCUUUACGAAUUGUAGUUUAAAGAAGUGUUUUCUGUUGAGGUUUUGGUAAAAGUUCUUUGGAAUAGGACAUCAUAGAGGGUGAGAAUCCCGUAUUUGACCUUUACUUUCAACUUUGUGAUACACUUUCAAAGAGUCGGAUUGUUUGGGAAUGCAGUCCAAAAUGGGUGGUAAAUUUCAUCUAAAGCUAAAUAUUGGCGAGAGACCGAUAGCGAACAAGUACCGUGAGGGAAAGAUGAAAAGAACUUUGAAAAGAGAGUUAAACAGUACGUGAAAUUGUCAAAAGGGAAGCGUUUGACACCAGUGUUGUUCUUCUGAAAAUCAAUUAAAGAACUGUUUAUGCUAAGUUGUUUAGACUUUAUCAGCUAACUGUUUAGUUUUGAGCUUUUCUUUAAUGCACUUUUCAGGUUAACAAGUCAACAUCAAUUUCUUUUGCUGUAAAAAAGCUUGAGGAAGGUGGCUUGAGAUUCGUCUUAAGUGUUUAUAGCCUCUUGCCUAUGCAGUCGGAGAGAUUGAGGUCUGCAGCGUAGAUCCUUCGGGGCUAAAUGCAUUUGUGCUAAGUUAUAGCAUUUUAUAGACAACUUGUUGACUAUGAUUUGUCUUGUAGCUUACUCGCUUAUGUUAUUUUACCUACGCUUAGGAUGUUGAAGUCAUCGUAUCGCGC